This 75-nucleotide transfer RNA is filed under the name Hydrogenibacillus sp. Its description in RNAcentral is "tRNA-Gln". It matches the Rfam family "tRNA". Rfam says of the family: Transfer RNA (tRNA) molecules are approximately 80 nucleotides in length. Lineage: Bacteria; Bacillati; Bacillota; Bacilli; Thermicanales; Thermicanaceae. The record is from RNAcentral.
UGCGGGAUGGUGCAAUGGUAGCACGCCUGACUCUGGAUCAGGUAGUCUAGGUUUCGAGUCCUAGUCCCGCAGCCA